GUAGGUGGCAAGCGUUGUCCGGAAUUAUUGGGCGUAAAGCGCGCGCAGGCGGUUCUUUAAGUCUGAUGUGAAAGCCCACGGCUCAACCGUGGAGGGUCAUUGGAAACUGGAGAACUUGAGUACAGAAGAGGAAAGCGGAAUUCCACGUGUAGCGGUGAAAUGCGUAGAGAUGUGGAGGAACACCAGUGGCGAAGGCGGCUUUCUGGUCUGUAACUGACGCUGAGGCGCGAAAGCGUGGGGAGCAAACAGGGAUUAGAUACCCUGGUAUUCCACGCCGUAAACGAUGAGUGCUAAGUGUUAGGGGGUUUCCGCCCCCUUAGUGCUGCAGCUAACGCAUUAAGCACUCCGCCUGGGGAUACGGCCGCAAGGCUG
Molecule: ribosomal RNA, 372 nt
Filed under: uncultured organism
Description: partial 16S ribosomal RNA
Rfam family: Bacterial small subunit ribosomal RNA
Source: RNAcentral